Molecule: ribosomal RNA, 461 nt
Filed under: uncultured bacterium
Lineage: Bacteria
Description: partial 16S ribosomal RNA
Rfam family: Bacterial small subunit ribosomal RNA
Source: RNAcentral
CCUACGGGGGGCAGCAGUGAGGAAUAUUGGUCAAUGGGCGGAAGCCUGAACCAGCCAAGUCGCGUGAGGGAUUAAGGCCCUGCGGGUCGUAAACCUCUUUUGCCGGGGAGCAGUGGUCCGGACGCGUCCGGACCGGGAGAGUACCCGGAGAAAAAGCAUCGGCUAACUCCGUGCCAGCAGCCGCGGUAAUACGGAGGAUGGGAGCGUUAUCCGGAUUUAUUGGGUUUAAAGGGAGCGUGGAUGGGUUGUUAAGUCAGUUGUGAAAGUGUGCGGCUCAACCGUAAAAUUGCAAUUGAUACUGGCAGUCUUGAGUACAGUUGAGGUAGGCGGAAUUCGUGGUGUAGCGGUGAAAUGCUUAGAUAUCACGAAGAACUCCGAUUGCGAAGGCAGCUUACUAAACUGCCACUGACAUUGAUGCUCGAAAGUGUGGGUAGCAAACAGGAUUAGAUACCCUAGUAGUC